Molecule: microRNA, 21 nt
Filed under: Zea mays
Lineage: Eukaryota; Viridiplantae; Streptophyta; Magnoliopsida; Poales; Poaceae
Description: microRNA miR-3246
Source: RNAcentral
UUGAUGACCAGAGAUCACGAG